RNAcentral lists this ribosomal RNA (565 nucleotides) under human gut metagenome. RNAcentral describes it as "bacterial LSU rRNA". It matches the Rfam family "Bacterial large subunit ribosomal RNA", at positions 2362 to 2925 of the family's 2925-position model. The record is from RNAcentral.
AGGGAGCUUGACUGCGAGAGCUACAACUCGAGCAGGGACGAAAGUCGGGCUUAGUGAUCCGGUGGUUCCGCAUGGAAGGGCCAUCGCUCAACGGAUAAAAGCUACCCUGGGGAUAACAGGCUUAUCUCCCCCAAGAGUCCACAUCGACGGGGAGGUUUGGCACCUCGAUGUCGGCUCAUCACAUCCUGGGGCUGUAGUAGGUCCCAAGGGUUGGGCUGUUCGCCCAUUAAAGUGGUACGCGAGCUGGGUUCAGAACGUCGUGAGACAGUUCGGUCCCUAUCCGUCGCGGGCGUAGGAAAUUUGAGAGGAUCUGCUCCUAGUACGAGAGGACCAGAGUGGACUUACCGCUGGUGUACCAGUUGUUCUGCCAAGAGCAUCGCUGGGUAGCUAUGUAGGGAAGGGAUAAACGCUGAAAGCAUCUAAGUGUGAAGCCCACCUCAAGAUGAGAUUUCCCAUGAUUUUAUAUCAGUAAGAGCCCUGAGAGAUGAUCAGGUUGAUAGGUUAGAAGUGGAAGUGUGGUGACACAUGUAGCGGACUAAUACUAAUAGCUCGAGGACUUAUCCAA